ACCUGACUGCUAUCGGAUUGAUACUAAGCCAUGCGAGUCAUUGUAGCAAUACAAGGCAUACGGCUCAGUAACGCGUAGUCAACCUAACCUAUGGACGGGAAUAACCUCGGGAAACUGAGAAUAAUGCCCGAUAGAACACUAUACCUGGAAUGGUUUGUGUUCCAAAUGAUUUAUCGCCAUAGGAUGGGACUGCGGCCUAUCAGUUUGUUGGUGAGGUAAUGGCCCACCAAGACUAUUACAGGUACGGGCUCUGGGAGGAGUAGCCCGGAGAUGGGUACUGAGACACGGACCCAGGCCCUAUGGGGCGCAGCAGGCGAGAAAACUUUGCAAUGUGCGAAAGCACGACAAGGUUAAUCCGAGUGAUUUCUGCUAAAGAGAUCUUUUGUUAGUUCUAGAAACACUAACGAAUAAGGGGUGGGCAAGUUCUGGUGUCAGCCGCCGCGGUAAAACCAGCACCUCAAGUGGUCAGGAUGAUUAUUGGGCCUAAAGCAUCCGUAGCCGGCUCUGUAAGUUUUCGGUUAAAUCUGUACGCUCAACGUACAGGCUGCCGGGAAUACUGCAGAACUAGGGAGUGGGAGAGGUAGACGGUACUCGGUAGGAAGUGGUAAAAUGCUUUGAUCUAUCGAUGACCACCUGUGGCGAAGGCGGUCUACCAGAACACGUCCGACGGUGAGGGAUGAAAGCUGGGGGAGCAAACCGGAUUAGAUACCCGGGUAGUCCCAGCUGUAAACUAUGCAAACUCAGUGAUGCAUUGGCUUGUGGCCAAUGCAGUGCUGCAGGGAAGCCGUUAAGUUUGCCGCCUGGGAAGUACGUACGCAAGUAUGAAACUUAAAGGAAUUGGCGGGGGAGCACCACAAGGGGUGAAGCCUGCGGUUC
Molecule: ribosomal RNA, 876 nt
Filed under: uncultured crenarchaeote
Lineage: Archaea; Thermoproteati; Thermoproteota
Description: bacterial SSU rRNA
Rfam family: Archaeal small subunit ribosomal RNA
Source: RNAcentral